This 448-nucleotide ribosomal RNA is filed under the name uncultured bacterium. RNAcentral's name for it is "bacterial SSU rRNA". It matches the Rfam family "Bacterial small subunit ribosomal RNA", at positions 352 to 793 of the family's 1533-position model. The record is from RNAcentral.
CAGUGGGGAAUAUUGCACAAUGGGCGCAAGCCUGAUGCAGCCAUGCCGCGUGUAUGAAGAAGGCCUUCGGGUUGUAAAGUACUUUCAGCAGUGAGGAAGGUGGAUAUGUUAAUAGCAUAUUCAUUUGACGUUAGCUGCAGAAGAAGCACCGGCUAACUCCGUGCCAGCAGCCGCGGUAAUACGGAGGGUGCGAGCGUUAAUCGGAAUUACUGGGCGUAAAGCGCAUGCAGGUGGUUUGUUAAGUCAGAUGUGAAAGCCCGGGGCUCAACAUCGGAAUUGCAUUUGAAACUGGCAAACUAGAGUACUGUAGAGGGGGUAGAAUUUCAGGUGUAGCGGUGAAAUGCGUAGAGAUCUGAAGGAAUACCGGUGGCGAAGGCGGCCCCCUGGACAGAUACUGACACUCAGAUGCGAAAGCGUGGGGAGCAAACAGGAUUAGAUACCCUGGUAG